RNAcentral lists this long non-coding RNA (729 nucleotides) under Mus caroli (Ryukyu mouse). Its description in RNAcentral is "lncRNA (MGP_CAROLIEiJ_G0002744.1)". The record is from RNAcentral. Lineage: Eukaryota; Metazoa; Chordata; Mammalia; Rodentia; Muridae.
GGGACUAAAAAAGAGGCUUUGACCACACUCCAAGGUGCCACCAGUUUUUCAGUAACGCGCUUAAUGAAAGGGAUGAUUAUCAGGGUCAGAGCGUUUGCAUUAUGAACACGUGAGUUAGGAGGAGAAACUGCGAUGGCUCCUGUGGGUCCACCCCACUUCAACUCCUCAACACAGAAAGCCAGAUCCAUUAGCUCUUGUAGGCCACCAGAGACAAUGAUUCAUGGGGCGUCAUGGCGACCUGCAUUUAGGCAGGAUCUCUGCAGCAGCAACAAAGCUCUCCACGUCAUCAAUGAUGUCAUCCUGGUUUCUCUGUGUAGCCCUGGCUGUCCUGGAACUCACUUUGUAGACCAGGCUGGCCUCGAACAGAAAUCCGCCUGCCUCUGCCUCCUAAGUGCUGGGAUUAAAGGUGUGCGCCACCACGCCCGGCUAGGCUCACUUUUUAAGAACCUGAUUUAGACACUGCAGCCUUAGUUUUAAAUAUCUGCUCUACACAUCUCCCUGGAAAUCAGGACUUGAAGGUGUAACUACCAGAUCACCGUCUUCUCAUUCACCGUAAAGCAUAGAGCUCCAGGACUGACCACGUCUAUCCACACUAAGGCGGCUGGAGAGUAACCCAGGGACACAGUGCUUGCACCGUGUGACGCCCUAAGUCUCGGGUUCCAUUUCAAAUACAACAAGUCAGCUGUAAUGUGUGUCAUGCUGGGAAACUGCCCGGUGCUGCUUGAAUCA